GGCGGCGCGCUUAAUACAUGCAAGUCGAACGAGAAGCCAGAGCUUGCUCUAGGUGGAAAGUGGCGAACGGGUGAGUAACACGUGAGAAACCUGCCCCAAAGAUUGGGAUAAGCCUUGGAAACGAGGUCUAAUACCAAAUACCUUCCUUUAACACAUGUUAAAAGAGAAAUGCUCCGGCGCUUUGGGAUGGUCUCGCGAUCUAUCAGCUUGUUGGUGAGGUAACGACUCACCAAGGCAUCGACGGAUAGCUGGUCUGAGAGGAUGUCCAGCCACAUUGGAACUGAGACACGGUCCAAACUCCUACGGGAGGCAGCAGUAGGGAAUCUUGCACAAUGAGGGAAACCUUGAUGCAGCGACGCCGCGUGCGGGACGAAGGCCCUAGGGUUGUAAACCGCUUUCAGUAGGGACGAAAGUGACGGUACCUACAGAAGAAGCCCCGGCCAACUAUGUG
RNAcentral lists this ribosomal RNA (451 nucleotides) under uncultured bacterium. RNAcentral's name for it is "bacterial SSU rRNA". It matches the Rfam family "Bacterial small subunit ribosomal RNA", at positions 38 to 507 of the family's 1533-position model. The record is from RNAcentral.